RNAcentral lists this long non-coding RNA (339 nucleotides) under Homo sapiens (human). RNAcentral describes it as "HSALNT0100584". The record is from RNAcentral. Lineage: Eukaryota; Metazoa; Chordata; Mammalia; Primates; Hominidae.
CCAGACACCAGCUUCCUGGCCUAUGUCCUGGCCCCUGGUAUCUGGAUGACAGCAGCGUGAUCCUCCUGUGAGGUCCUUCCUUGCCCUCUGAUCUGAGUUCCUGAAAGCAGAGAGCCACUCAGGAACUGCUGUCCCUCAGCCCAGCUGGCUGGUGACGGGCUUUUGAAGACUCUGCGCUCUCUCCUGCUGGAAGAGCUCCCCAGGGUCGACCAGGAGCCAGGUGAUCACUUUCAGCCUCUGUGAGCUACUGGAGAUCACCAAACCUUCCAAUACCUCGGGCAGGUGCCAGGGCCUUUAAGGAGGCUUUCUGCUCUGUGGGGAUGUUCUGCAGGCUCCAGU